GAGAGAGAGAGAGAGAGAGAGAGAGAAAGAGAGAAAGAGAGAGAGAGACAUACAUACAUGCAGACAGAAACACAAGGUAUCUGAUUAUAGUCUUGUUGCAUGUAUUUGCUAACUGCCUGUUAACUUUUUCUUAUCCGGGCUGGUCUGUUUUAAAUCGCAGCGCUUCUUCGUCUUGUUUCAUAUUGCAAUAAGUUUUAAUGAAGAAAAUAGAAAACAUGGAUCUUUCUAUGUUUACACCACCAGUCUCGUUCCUACGUUCGUGUUAUUUCACUAGUAUUGGGAGUAAAUGUUAUUUCAUAUUAUUGAUAAUUUGACAAGAAUCUUGGGUUGUUUUGUGUUGUUUUUUUACUUCAGACCCUGUUGUAGGCAAGAGAGCGACCUCGUGCAAAGCUGACCACGACUGUCACCCACCUGUAUGUGGUAACAGCCAUCAAGGAGUCUGUCAGAACGGACAGUGUGAUUGUAACGCCCCACGAGUAAGUCACAAUCAGGUCAACUGUACCACAAACGACGAGUGUGUGACCGCCUGUGGUAAGGACCAUGCCAAGUGUCAUGACGACAUGCUCUGUCACUGCCACCUGGCCUGAGUGGUCAGUCAACAGACAGACACCAGACGGGGAGAGAGCUGGGCGAGUUUAUUCACAAGGACAGCGACUGCGGAUAAUAAAUAGCGAUUUAUCUCUUGUUUCUGAAUACAUCACUAAAGGCUUUGACUCAUAUUUAAAUUCCAAAUGUUAAAAAAGCAAGAAAAUGUACGACUGCGUAGUUAAACCAAUGAAACAGUUUAUAUUCUUUUUCUUUUAAAAUGUUGCUUUCUAGACAGUGAUAUUGCAUAGUAUUCAAAGAUUUCUCUCUUGUCUCUGAUUACACCAAGGAAGGCAUUGGCUCAUGGAUAUGCAGUUGAAAAGUAGACGGUAUAAAACAGCAAUGAUUUCUACUAAAACUGCUGCAUGAGGAAAAAAAAAUAAAGAAAUGAUUUCAUAAA
Molecule: long non-coding RNA, 985 nt
Organism: Aplysia californica (California sea hare)
Lineage: Eukaryota; Metazoa; Mollusca; Gastropoda; Aplysiida; Aplysiidae
Exons: 2
Source: RefSeq, a predicted model, not a curated record